RNAcentral lists this unclassified non-coding RNA (368 nucleotides) under soil metagenome. RNAcentral's name for it is "partial contains 5.8S ribosomal RNA, internal transcribed spacer 2, and large subunit ribosomal RNA". The stretch from base 1 to 120 matches the Rfam family "5.8S ribosomal RNA", at positions 35 to 154 of the family's 154-position model. The record is from RNAcentral.
GAUGAAGAACGUAGCGAAAUGCGAUACGUAAUGUGAAUUGCAGAAUUCCGUGAACCAUCGAAUCUUUGAACGCACAUUGCGCCCGGCAGUAAUCUGCCGGGCAUGCCUGUCCGAGCGUCAUUUCUGCCCUCGAGCGAGUCCAGCAUCUAGGUGCUGGGCCCGCCCGGCGUUGGGGCACUACGGGAAGCCCUGUGCUGUCCCCCGUAGGCCCCGAAAUGAAGUGGCGGUCCUGCCGCGGCGCCCCCUGCGUAGUAUAACAGCUCGCUUCGGGACCCGGUGGAGGCCUGCCGUCAAACCUUACUCUCUAAGUUUGACCUCGGAUCAGGUAGGGUUACCCGCUGAACUUAAGCAUAUCAAUAAGCGGAGGA